This 394-nucleotide ribosomal RNA is filed under the name uncultured prokaryote. Its description in RNAcentral is "bacterial SSU rRNA". It matches the Rfam family "Bacterial small subunit ribosomal RNA", at positions 154 to 523 of the family's 1533-position model. The record is from RNAcentral.
AAAGGGGUGCUAAUACCGGGUAAUAUUCCGAUCCCUUUGGAGAUUGGAAUCAAACGGGGGCCUCUGCAUGCAAGCUUCCGCCCAGGGAUGGGCCCGCGUACCAUUAGCUAGUUGGUAGGGUAACGGCCUACCAAGGCGACGAUGGUUAGCUGGUCUGAGAGGAUGGCCAGCCACACUGGAACUGAGACACGGUCCAGACUCCUACGGGAGGCAGCAGUGGGGAAUCUUGCGCAAUGGGGGAAACCCUGACGCAGCAACGCCGCGUGGGUGAUGAAGGCCUUCGGGUCGUAAAGCCCUGUCAGGUGGAAAGAACCGUGUCGGUACGAACAAUACCGACGCUUGACGGUACCACCGGAGGAAGCACCGGCUAACUCCGUGCCAGCAGCCGCGGUAA